RNAcentral lists this long non-coding RNA (422 nucleotides) under Salvia miltiorrhiza (redroot sage). RNAcentral's name for it is "long non-coding RNA (SMIL_LNC009888)". The record is from RNAcentral. Lineage: Eukaryota; Viridiplantae; Streptophyta; Magnoliopsida; Lamiales; Lamiaceae.
GCUCCCCACAGGGAUACACUAUGUCUAAUAAAACCUAACUCGAGCAAUUCUUGUAGCUGAAUCUUCAGCUCUUGUAGCUCCUUAGGCGCCAUUCUAUAGGGUGCCUUCGACACUGGUGCUGAUCCAGGUUCUAGGUCGAUAGUGAACUCCAACUAUCUUGUUGGUGGCAAUCCUGGUAAGACCUCGGGAAAUACAUCUCUAUGUUCCCUUACCACUGCUACAUCCUCAAAGUUUUUUUUUUUUUUUAUUCUCCUUCAUCAUUCAAGUAAACUAGGUAAGCUUGUGCUCCUUUCUUCUUUACCAAUUUCGACGCCUGAAGUGCCGAAACGAUUGGAACUCUCUUCUUUCUAUCAAUGCCGUGAAAACAUGCCUGUUCCUUCCCAGGUGGUUGGAAAGUUAUCUGUCUCUUCUUACAAUCAAUC